UACCUACGAAAACUGUGCGAUUCCCUCGCCUGGGAGCGCGCCACGUCGCCGGCCGCUCCCGACCGUCGGAUCGGGCGCACGGACUGUCCAGAUCGUGCGAGCCCCGGCUAUUUUGCAAAAAAACCCUCAAAGUUUGAUGAAAUCAACCCGCGGUCCGGGUCCCCUCUCUCCUCCCUUCCCUUAUCCUCUUCCCACUCUCCUCUCCGGUGGCGGACGGCGCUGCAGGGCCCGCGCAAGAUGCAGCAGCGGGCGAGCGCGGCCGGACGCAGCGGCAGGCGGCAGUGUAGGGUGCCGCUGUGCAGCGGGGUGGCCGGGCGCAACGUCCAGGCCGCUCUCCUUCCCUCUCUUCCCCUACAAGCGGGGCCAGGCACGGUGGCCAAGCACGACCGGCGCGGCUCCGCGAGGGCCACGAAGGCCGGGCGUGGUGGCGGGGCCGCACCCUCCCUCCCAUCCCCUACAAGCGGGACCGGGCACGGCGGCGGCCAAGCGUAGCCGGCGCGGCUGGGCAGGGCUGCGCGGGGCGGGGUACUGCGGCCGGACGCAGCGCGGGGCCCGUAGCCGACCGGGGCAGCGGGCAUGGCUGCAGUAGGCGUCGCUGCGGCGCGACAAGCGAACGGGGCACCGGGCCCUGCACAGCCGCCGGCGCGACGCAGGCAGCAGGGGCCCGGCGCAGCGGGCAGCGGCGUGGAGGCUCAGCGAGGGUGGGCGCGACUGGCAAUGAAGGUGGCGUCGGGCCACGCCGGAGGUCGAGGUGGACGGUCGCACGUGCUGGCGUCCGCCUCCGCUCCCGUCCGCGGCGCUCCCGUCUACACCCGUGACCUUGCUCCGCCGCCGCCCGCCCCCUGCCUUGUCGCCGCCCCUGCUCUGCCGCUUGCCCGCCCCUACCUCGCCGCCCUCAUCGGUGUCCCGCGCCGUCGCCGCUGACCCGGCCGCGGCCCCGUCCCGUUCGCUGCCCCGGGCACCUCCACCUACGGCUCACCCUGCUCUCGCUCGGCUUGCCCUCGGCGGAGCGGCCUCUGCUCCUUCGUCCCAUAUGGUGCCGAGGCCGAGCCAGCUCGCUCCGCCUCACCCCUGCCCCCCGCCUGCUGCUCCUCUGCCUGCGCCAGCGGCCAUGCUCCGGCGACCCCACCCGCAGAGCCCUGGCCCCCAGCGGCGGCGGAUCGGUGGGUUGCAGCCGCGCCGGGCUCCACCACGCUUUGCGCGCGGCGUCAUGGUGGAUCUGCAGCACCUUGGCCACUACCUCCCAUUCUCCUCGCGACGGUCGCCAUGGAGCGCGGCGGAGCCAGAACUUCCCAGCCGGUCCGUGGUGGACCUCAUCCAUCCUGUGGCUGCAGGUCGUCUAGCUACGAUUAACUACAGGUCUGAUGCUGGUGCACGCUCUGUGCUUGCGUAAAUGCCCCAACGAAUUUGAAGACCCGCACAGGCUGAGCAUCACACCCUCUGUUCGUUUUUCUGUGGUUUGUGCAGAUCAGUAGAGGGAUCAAGAAAAUGGUCCAAAUCGAAACUACAGAUGAGAAUAUGAGAUUGAGAUGCUGUGUCAUGCAGGUCUGAGCUUCCCACUCAGGACUGCAGAUCUGAUAAAAAUCUUUAGCCUUCUGUUAUUGUGAAGAAUCUGAUUAGCUAGCAACAUGUGCUUAUUGGAUUCCACAGUGGAGAAAAAACAUUUCUUUUACAGGUUCUUGAUCUUGCAUGCCAUCGCAGCUGCUAGCAAAGGUGUCAAGCUCUGUUUUUCUCUGUUUCUCUUGUGCAGCCUUAAAUUCGUUUGAUUUUCAGAUUUAUAUGAUGAAUAAGCUGAUACAACCAAGACGAGCUACAUGUUAUCUACCAUUAGCAGCGCCAAUUAACUACUAAUAUGUUUGCUUGGAGUACAGUUCUUUUAUUAUUUACUGCACCAUCCCUCCAGUGGCCAUAGUCGACAUUACCUCCACUGCCAACAAGGUGUUCGACAAAAUGCCAAGCUCCCAAGCGUAUAGCAUCUUUUAUUUAUGAAGAUUCACUUUGCAAUCUGUGUUUCGUAUUCUGCAGUGAGGAUAAUGUUGGAGCUUACUAUUAGUAGAUGACAACUUAUGACAACUUGAUUGUUUCAAGUGUUUACUCUUGUGGAUGAUGGAAAACCAAUACGAAAAAGGUGGAAGAGGAGCAAGAAUGCCUCUUUGUAUAAAAAACGAAGCAAAAAGAAAAAAAUAAAAGGAUCAAGAGCAACGUCUGCAAUACAAAAUUUACCAAUGAUGCCCACAUAUAGUGCACAACUCUAAUCUUCAGAGGCUCCUCUUGCAUUCAUUCUUCGAAGGAUUUUCAUGAUUUUCUAUGAAGCAACCUCUUCAAUUGCGCAAUAAAGAUUUAAAAUGAAUCUAUCAAAAAGUGGUAUGUUAAGUAGUAUAUCUAUAUCUGAAACUCUUGUAUGCUCCAACCGUUUAAUCGGCAACUGCAUAUCCACUGCAAGAUUGUAAGUAUACAUAAAUAAACAUAAUAUGCUUGUACCC
Molecule: long non-coding RNA, 2483 nt
Organism: Panicum virgatum (switchgrass)
Lineage: Eukaryota; Viridiplantae; Streptophyta; Magnoliopsida; Poales; Poaceae
Exons: 4
Source: RefSeq, a predicted model, not a curated record